CUUUAAACGCGGGCCACAGAGUGCACACGACUUGGAGUGUUCUCAAAUAAGUGUCGAUUUUGGUCAAACGAGGUGCAACCGUGCAUAUUUUAUUAACAGCAAACGAGAGCUAUCGGCCGAGGGUGCAAAACUAAAGAUGAGAUGAAAAUAUUAUUUGAAUGCUGUUCCACUGUCAUAGAGACCAGUGCUUUAGAAGACUAGCCUGGACAGCCUUGGUGCGUGAAAAAUUUGCAGCUUCAAACAUUCGCGUAUAAAUAGAGACAUGCAACAAUAGUAACUAUGAUAACUAUUUAUGAACUCUGUAAUUAUAUAACAUUUUAUUAAAAAUCUUUUGAAGCCGA
Molecule: long non-coding RNA, 341 nt
Organism: Xenia sp. Carnegie-2017
Lineage: Eukaryota; Metazoa; Cnidaria; Anthozoa; Malacalcyonacea; Xeniidae
Exons: 2
Source: RefSeq, a predicted model, not a curated record